CCUACGGGAGGCAGCAGUGGGGAAUAUUGCACAAUGGGGGGAACCCUGAUGCAGCAAUGCCGCGUGGGUGAAGAAGCACUCCGGUGCGUACAGCCCUGUCAGCAGGGAAGAAAAUGACAGUACCUGGACAAGAAGCCCCGGCUAACUACGUGCCAGCAGCCGCGGUAAUACGUAGGGGGCAAGCGUUAUCCGGAUUUACUGGGUGGAAAGGGAGCGCAGGCGGCGGGGCAAGUCAGAUGUGAAAACCCGGGGCUCAACCCCGGGAGUGCAUUUGAAACUGCCAUGCUGGAGUGCCGGAGAGGUAAGCGGAAUUCCUAGUGGAGCGGUGAAAUGCAUAGAUAUCACGCAGAACUCCGAUUGCGAAGGCAGCAUACCGGCGCCCUACUGACGCUGAGGCACGAAAGCGUGGGUAUCGAACAGGAUUAGAUACCCCUGUAGUC
This 440-nucleotide ribosomal RNA is filed under the name uncultured bacterium. RNAcentral describes it as "partial 16S ribosomal RNA". It matches the Rfam family "Bacterial small subunit ribosomal RNA", at positions 338 to 795 of the family's 1533-position model. The record is from RNAcentral.